Molecule: unclassified non-coding RNA, 147 nt
Filed under: soil metagenome
Description: partial internal transcribed spacer 1
Source: RNAcentral
CCGAGUUUACAACUCCAAACCCCUGUGAACAUACCUUUAUGUUGCCUCGGCGGAUCAGCCCGCGCCCCGUAAAACGGGACGGCCCGCCGCAGGAAACCCCAAACUCUGUUUUUAGUGGAACUUCUGAGUAUAAAAACAAAUAAAUCA